RNAcentral lists this small nuclear RNA (104 nucleotides) under Meriones unguiculatus (Mongolian gerbil). The record is from RNAcentral. Lineage: Eukaryota; Metazoa; Chordata; Mammalia; Rodentia; Muridae.
GUGCUCUCUUCAACAGCACAUAUACUAAAAUUGGAACAUUACCGAGAAGUUCAUGGCCCCUGUGUAAGUAUGAUAUGCAAAUUCGUGAAGCAUUCCAUAUUUUU